ACAGUGAGAUAGCUGCCUAGUGGAAAUGAAUAAUAUCCCAGCCACUAGUGUACAGGGUGUUUUGUGGCACAGGAUUAUGUAAUAUGGAACUGCUCAAGCAAAUAACUAGUCAUCACAACAGCAGUUCUUUGUAAUAACUGAAAAAGAAUAUUGUUUCUCGGAGAAGGAUGUCAAAAGAUCGGCCCAGCUCAGGGAGCAGUUUGCCCUACUAGCUCCUCGGACAGCUGUAAAGAAGAGUCUCUGGCUCUUUAGAAUACUGUAAGUACUACUUCGUAGCUAUUAAGUAAUCUUUUUCCUAUUCUAUUUUCUUUCUCUUAGAUGCCACCUAUAGAAAAGUCAGAGGGUCCAGAUCCCAUUGAAGAUACCACGCUGCAUGUGUCCUUAGUAGUCAUGUCUCCUUAGGCUCCUCUUGGACAUUCUGAGCAUGUGAGACCUGAGGACUGCAAACAGCUAUAAGAGGCUCCAAAUUAAUCAUAUCUUUCCCUUUGAGAAUCUGGCCAAGCUCCAGCUAAUCUACUUGGAUGGGUUGCCAGCUAUCUGGAGAAAAAGAUCUUCCUCAGAAGAAUAGGCUUGUUGUUUUACAGUGUUAGUGAUCCAUUCCCUUUGACGAUCCCUAGGUGGAGAUGGGGCAUGAGGAUCCUCCAGGGGAAAAGCUCACUACCACUGGGCAACAACCCUAGGUCAGGAGGUUCUGUCAAGAUACUUU
This 706-nucleotide long non-coding RNA is filed under the name Homo sapiens (human). RNAcentral's name for it is "X inactive specific transcript". The stretch from base 554 to 679 matches the Rfam family "X-chromosome inactivation gene exon 4". Lineage: Eukaryota; Metazoa; Chordata; Mammalia; Primates; Hominidae. The record is from RNAcentral.